RNAcentral lists this ribosomal RNA (253 nucleotides) under uncultured bacterium. Its description in RNAcentral is "partial 16S ribosomal RNA". It matches the Rfam family "Bacterial small subunit ribosomal RNA", at positions 524 to 776 of the family's 1533-position model. The record is from RNAcentral.
GACAGAGGGGGCAAGCGUUGCUCGGAAUCACUGGGCGUAAAGGGCGCGUAGGCGGGAUGGCAAGUCGGUCGUGAAAUCCUUCGGCUCAACCGAAGAACGUCGGCCGAUACUGCCGUUCUUGAGGGAUGCAGAGGAGAUUGGAAUUCCCGGUGUAGUGGUGAAAUGCGUAGAUAUCGGGAGGAACACCAACGGCGAAGGCAGCUCUCUGGGACGUUACUGACGCUGAGACGCGAAAGCGUGGGGAGCAAACAGG